UACGGGGGGGCAAGCGUUGUUCGGAAUUACUGGGCGUAAAGGGUUUGUAGGUGGCUCGCUAAGUCAGACGUGAAAUCCCUCAGCUUAACUGGGGAACUGCGUCUGAAACUGAUGAGCUUGAGUGCAGGAGAGGAACGCGGAAUUCCAGGUGUAGCGGUGAAAUGCGUAGAUAUCUGGAGGAACACCGGUGGCGAAGGCGGUUCUCUGGGCCUUACCCUGACGCUGAGGAGCGAAGCGUG
RNAcentral lists this ribosomal RNA (239 nucleotides) under uncultured bacterium. RNAcentral describes it as "partial 16S ribosomal RNA". It matches the Rfam family "Bacterial small subunit ribosomal RNA", at positions 524 to 763 of the family's 1533-position model. The record is from RNAcentral.